Long non-coding RNA from Myotis myotis, 692 nucleotides. RefSeq lists it as uncharacterized. The transcript is spliced from 2 exons. Lineage: Eukaryota; Metazoa; Chordata; Mammalia; Chiroptera; Vespertilionidae. The record is from RefSeq and is a predicted model, not a curated record.
CCUGGGGCCGUGGGCGGGGAUGGUCCCCUCACUCGGCAUCCAGGGGACGAUGGCAAAGGCUUCCCACGGCACUGUCACCAAGGAGGUCAGCGCCAAGAGCUAAGGGAGAAAUAACUUCCAUUGAUGAUCGAUGGAGUUAACAAGAGGACGGAAAAACAAAACAAAACAAAACAAAACCCAGCAGCUCAGCCACAGGGAAAUGAGACCCGAUCGCAGAGAACGCACUUUCUCGCACCGAGGGACAACAAAGCGGCGAGCGUGAUGGAGCCCAGAGAGGGAAGAGUUGGAGGAGGCGAGAAGGGAUGCGCCGUCCUCAGGAAUUCAGCGGUUGAUUGAUUCGUCGGUAGAGAAAUGAAACCAAACACAGAAAUAUCAACCUGCCAGCCAGUUUAUCUCUAUCUUUUCUUCAUGCCAAAACAGAUUUAGUUAUGUGGUGACCAUGUUUGCAGCGAAGAUGCUUAUGGGAGGGUACCCAGACCCAGCGUGGAUACAGCGGACAAAGGGGCGAGCCACACCCCAGGUGGCGUGGGGUUGCAUCAUGCUACAACUUAAAACCUGUGCACUGUUUAUUUCCGGAACUUCCCAUUUCAUGCUUGCAGACUGAAGCUGACUGCGGGUCAUCGAACCCGUGGAUAAGGUGGGCCGGGACUACUGUAGUCUGCUGGAUAAAUAAAUUCGUUUCACCACUGUGA